GGGUUGUGAGGUUAAGCGACUAAGCGUACACGGUGGAUGCCCUGGCAGUCAGAGGCGAUGAAGGACGUGCUAAUCUGCGAUAAGCGUCGGUAAGGUGAUAUGAACCGUUAUAACCGGCGAUUUCCGAAUGGGGAAACCCAGUGUGUUUCGACACACUAUCAUUAACUGAAUCCAUAGGUUAAUGAGGCGAACCGGGGGAACUGAAACAUCUAAGUACCCCGAGGAAAAGAAAUCAACCGAGAUUCCCCCAGUAGCGGCGAGCGAACGGGGAGCAGCCCAGAGUCUGAAUCAGUGUGUGUGUUAGUGGAAGCGUCUGGAAAGGCGCGCGAUACAGGGUGACAGCCCCGUACACAAAAAUGCACAUGCUGUGAGCUCGAUGAGUAGGGCGGGACACGUGGUAUCCUGUCUGAAUAUGGGGGGACCAUCCUCCAAGGCUAAAUACUCCUGACUGACCGAUAGUGAACCAGUACCGUGAGGGAAAGGCGAAAAGAACCCCGGCGAGGGGAGUGAAAAAGAACCUGAAACCGUGUACGUACAAGCAGUGGGAGCACGCUUAGGCGUGUGACUGCGUACCUUUUGUAUAAUGGGUCAGCGACUUAUAUUCUGUAGCAAGGUUAACCGAAUAGGGGAGCCGAAGGGAAACCGAGUCUUAACUGGGCGUUAAGUUG
RNAcentral lists this ribosomal RNA (668 nucleotides) under Escherichia coli. RNAcentral's name for it is "bacterial LSU rRNA". It matches the Rfam family "Bacterial large subunit ribosomal RNA", at positions 1 to 702 of the family's 2925-position model. The record is from RNAcentral. Lineage: Bacteria; Pseudomonadati; Pseudomonadota; Gammaproteobacteria; Enterobacterales; Enterobacteriaceae.